UACGUAGGGGGCAAGCGUUGUCCGGAAUCAUUGGGCGUAAAGCGCGUGUAGGCGGCUUGGUAAGUCCGUUCUGAAAGCCCGGGGCUCAACCCCGGGAGGCGGAUGGAUACUGCUGAGCUCGAGUCCGGAAGAGGCGAGUGGAAUUCCUGGUGUAGCGGUGAAAUGCGCAGAUAUCAGGAGGAACACCAAUGGCGAAGGCAGCUCGCUGGGACGGUACUGACGCUGAGACGCGAAAGCGUGGGGAGCAAACAGG
This 253-nucleotide ribosomal RNA is filed under the name uncultured bacterium. RNAcentral's name for it is "partial 16S ribosomal RNA". It matches the Rfam family "Bacterial small subunit ribosomal RNA", at positions 524 to 776 of the family's 1533-position model. The record is from RNAcentral.